GUGAUCGGUAAAUAUUCCACAUUUGCAUCUAGCCACAUGGACUCUGUUCACGUGGUCUAAGGAGGGGCUUUGGCUGGUCGGAACCCAGCUCUGCUUUAUCCCUAUAAGAUCCAGAUGGGGGAAUGAGGGGGAAUUAUGCUUGAGUAGCAGUAGGCCUUCCUUGGGAAACUCCUCUCUGCUUCCCUCUGCUCCGGCCCGGCCACCUUCAGGCCAUCCAAUCCAAACAACGACACCCUCUGCGUCCCACCCCUUCUUCUGGAAUUGUUGCAGAAUUACAACUUCCUCAGAAAGGAAGCUUGACAAAACCGUGAUGGUGACCAGAGGCAGGAGGAUAUGACAAACCAGAAGGAAGACAGCCCAGAGGGGAGGGGCACCUGUGGGGAUGGAGAAGAACAGGCUCGCCCUCCCCCAAGCCCCAGAGAAUGCUUCAUUCGCUAAAUGAGAUCAAUCUGGCCCAGAUGUUGGGCAGCUGCCCCUAGAAGCAGUUCCCGUGCUGAGCAGCAGAGGCCAAGGCUGCUUAUGGAGCCGGCCUUGGAGGCUCUGGCCCCUCCUCUAGGGGCUAAACACAGCCUUCUGCUCCCAUCCCCAGUCGUCCUCCCCAGUCUUCCCAGGAGGUUGCCUUUUUAGGAAACCCGGAGGAUCCAGAAGAGAAGCAGACAGUGAGCGAGCGGCUAGCUAUGGUGGUUGAGGAGCUGUGUGGGGCAGAGACUGUGGCCCUAGUGACUGAAUCAAGUGGCUGAGGAGCAGCCUUGCCUGCAGCUCAGGACCUCUCGUUUCCAAUGUAAAGCCCCUCUUCCACGAGAUGUUCUAGCCCAAAGCAAGCACAGACUGGGAAAGGGUAGCAACUAGCCACAGCAAGAGAGAUGCCCAAGCAAACUGUCCAGAGCCGGAGCCGGAGCCGGAGCCGGAGCGGAGGUGCAGAACAGGCUCCAGGACUUUCCACCAAGCAUCCUUGGAAAAGAAGGCUUCACCUAGUCUAGCUCAGAUGGAGUUCUAGCUUCCACCACCCCAGAGGCUGCAACUGUUACAAGAUGGCAUCAGGCACUUGUAGCAGAGAUUUCCUCGCUUUGCUGUAACCACCUCUCCUGAUGGUUCACUAAUGUAUGUCUAAAGUACUUUGAUCUAUUACCUUUUUUGUCUGGUUAUGAUAAAACAUUCAUUAAAUGGUUGCCA
This is a long non-coding RNA of Apodemus sylvaticus (European woodmouse), 1173 nucleotides long. RefSeq lists it as uncharacterized. NCBI's taxonomy places the organism in Eukaryota, Metazoa, Chordata, Mammalia, Rodentia, Muridae. The transcript is spliced from 3 exons. The record is from RefSeq and is a predicted model, not a curated record.